CCUGACUGCUAUUUGGGUGAGACUAAGCCAUGCGAGUUGAAUGGGAUACCUAAAUUUUCCAUAGCAAACUGCUCCGUAACACAUGAUCAACUUGCCCUAUGGAGAAAAAUAACCUCGGGAAACUGAGGAUAAUGUUUCAUAGUUGAAAAGGCUUGGAAAAGUUUUUCAAUGAAAGGGUUAAGGAAAAUGGUCCUUAUCUGCCAUAGGAUAGGAUCGUGGUCGAUUAUGGUUGUUGGUGAGGUAAAGGCUCACCAAGCCGAUAAUCGCUAGGGGCCGUGAGAGCGGGAGCCCCGAGAUGGGUACUGAGACAACGACCCAGGCCUUACGAGGCGCAGCAGGCGCGGAACCUCCGCAAUACACGAAAGUGUGACGGGGUUACCCAAAGUGUUCAUUCUUGAACUGUGGUAGGUGAGUAAUGUUCCCUACUAGAAAGGAGAGGGCAAGGCUGGUGCCAGCCGCCGCGGUAAAACCAGCUCUUCAAGUGGUCGGGAUAAUUAUUGGGCUUAAAGUGUCCGUAGCCGGUUUAGUAAGUUCCUGGUAAAAUCGGGUAGCUUAACUAUCUGCAUGCUAGGAAUACUGCUUUACUAGAGGGCGGGAGAGGUCUGAGGUACUACAGGGGUAGGGGUGAAAUCUUAUAAUCCUUGUAGGACACCAGUGGCGAAGGCGUCAGACUGGAACGUGCCUGACGGUGAGGGACGAAAGCCAGGGGAGCGAACCGGAUUAGAUGCCCGGGUAGUCCUGGCCGUAAACGAUGCAUACUAGGUGAUGGCACGGCCAUGAGCCGUGUCAGUGCCGAAGGGAAACCGUUAAGUGUGCCGCCUGGGAAGUACGGUCGCAAGGCUAAAACUUAAAGGAAUUGGCGGGGGAGCACCACAAGGGGUGAAGCCUGCGGUUCAAUUGGAUUCAACGCCGG
RNAcentral lists this ribosomal RNA (913 nucleotides) under uncultured archaeon. RNAcentral's name for it is "bacterial SSU rRNA". It matches the Rfam family "Archaeal small subunit ribosomal RNA", at positions 21 to 921 of the family's 1478-position model. The record is from RNAcentral.